UUAAUAGAGAAAAAUAACAUAUUUACAUCGUUCUGUGUUUCUGCUGAUGAACAGCUGCUCGUGUCUGUUGCUGACAACCCCUGAGCAGCUUGUAUUUUCACUGUUAAACCUAACAUGUCAUUUGCAUGAAGUUCACAGUUGUAAGCUAAACAGAUUUGUGACUUAAUUGUGGUACAGUCCUUACUGAAAUCAAAACACAGAUGUAGAGAACUCUGCCGCCCUUCCUGCACGCUUUGUCAGCAGAUGUGCGGCCCUUCAUAGUUCUGCCCUGGGGGGUGACUCUCCUUUGGGCUCUCCCACUAGACCCACGGCAUGGACGUGCAUGGUGUGCCAGGCCCCAGGCCGGCAGCGAGCAAGAUGGUGAGAGUUCCGGCCCAGUGGAGCUCGUCUUCCAGCAGGGGAGACAGAUGCUAAACAAGAUGGGUGUUUAGCCUGUGUCGUAGGUUAGAUAUAAGGGCUUUGUGAUAAAGCAGGAAAGGGCAGCAGGGACGUGAGUGCUGGUGGUGGGUGUGACGGGUGAGGAGUGGCUGGCCGAGGGGCAGGUGGACUUCGGAGGGUGAGGGCUGAGCUGGUGUGUGCCUGCCCAGCUGGGGCGGCCUCCUUAGACGGCAGACUGAGGAGCCACACAGGGAGCCUGAGGGGCGCGGAGAGAGGCUGACUGGUGCUGGCCGCCAGGCACGCACCUUGAAUGAUUGGGGAACCUUCAACGGGCUUUGAGCAGACAGUGAUGCUGAGAUGGGCUUUAACGUGAUCCCGUAGCUUUUAAACAUUGGCAGUAAUUCUGGGGCAAAGACAGAGCAGGGAGACCCAGGUGGGGGCCAGUGCGUGGGUCCAGAUGUGCAAUGAUAAGGCCAGAGUGAGGACAGCGGGAGAUUCUGCCUAUAGGUCGGAUGAGAGAGGAGAACCAAGGCCCAAAGGUUCUGGCCUGAGCACCUGGGGUGGGAAGUCUGGAGGUGUCGGCUGGUUGUGGAGAGGUACGAGUUCAGUUUGGAUUCCUUCACGUUGAGACUAGACACUCAGGGGAAGUGGCCUGGAGGCCGGUUGUCACGUAGAUCUGGAGUUCCUGGGAGAGGUCGGAGGUGAAGUGGAUCGUGAGCCGUCAGCAGAUAGAUGGUAUUUCAGUGUGGAUGAGAAGAGGUCCAGCGCUCAGCCGCAGGGAGAGGGGUAGUCUGACCCAUGGUCCAGGAGGAGGGGCAUUGCAGGGCAGGGCAUGGCAGGGCGUACCUGCGCGAGUGGUCAUGGCUGUGGACGCUCACACGCUGUAGGCUGGGAGGUGGAUUGAAGUCAGGAUUGAAGAAGGCUCCCUAAUUUUUAUCCAGAUUUGAUGUGCUUGGCCUCAUCCGUGUACUUAUUGCUCUGUUUUAGAAAAACAAAAUCAAUAAUAAUAAGCACAAUAAGUAAUAUGUACUUAUAGGAAGUUCAACAGUCCAGGGGCUUCCCUGGUGGCACAGUGGUUAAGAAUCCACCUGCCAAUGCAGGGGACACGGGUUCAAGCCCUGGUCCGGGAAGAUCCCACGUGCCGCGGGGCAACUAAGCCCAUGCACCACAACUACUGAGCCUGCGCUCUAGAGCCUGCGAGCCCCAACUACUGAAGCCCGUGUGCCUAGAGCCUGUGCUGCGCAACAAGAGAAGUCAUUGCAGUGAGAAGCCCACACACCCCAAUGAAGAGUAGCCCUGCUCGCCGCAACUAGAGGAAGCCUGCACACAGCAACGAAGACCCAGCGCAGCCAAAGCUCAGCAGUCCAGAAGGAUAAAGGAUGAAGGUGACAGAAACCCCGUGCCUGGUGAGUCUGAUUCCUGCCCAUUGACCGGCCACUCUCCUCUCGUCCUGGAUGAUGUCAGAACAGGACCUGGCGGAUGUGGUGCAGAUCGCCGUGGAGGAGCUGAGUCCCGACCACCCAGUUGUACUGGAGAAUCAUGUAGUGACAGACGAAGAUGAACCAGCUUUGAAACGUCAGCGACUAGAGAUCAAUUGCCAGGAUCCUUCUAUCAAGUCAUUCCUGUAUUCCAUUAACCAGACAAUCUGCUUGCGAUUGGAUAGCAUUGAAGCCAAGCUGCAGGCUCUGGAGGCCACAUGUAAAUCACUGGAAGAGAAACUGGAUCUGGUCACCAACAAGCAGCACAGCCCCAUCCAGGUGCCCAUGGUGGCGGGCUCUCCUCUCGGCGCCACCCAGACCUGCAACAAAGUGCGAUGCGUCGUCCCCCAGACUACAGUAAUUCUCAACAGUGAUCGGCAGAACGCCGUUGUAGCCAAGAUGGAAGACCCCCUGAGCGGCAGGGCACCGGAUCCCCUGGAAAAUAUCAUUAGCAACGCGGUGCCCGGGCGUCGGCAGAACACCAUCGUGGUGAAGGUGCCAGGUCAGGAGGACAGCCACAAUGAGGACGGGGAGAGCGGGUCCGAGGCCAGCGACUCCGUUUCCAACUGUGGACAGUCAGGAAGUCAGAACAUCGGCAACAACGUCACCCUCAUCACCCUGAACUCGGAAGAGGACUACCCCAAUGGCACGUGGCUGGGGGACGAGAACAACCCCGAGAUGCGGGUGCGCUGCGCCAUCAUCCCCUCCGACAUGCUGCACAUCAGCACCAACUGCCGCACGGCCGAGAAGAUGGCGCUCACGCUGCUGGACUACCUCUUCCACCGCGAGGUGCAGGCCGUCUCCAACCUCUCGGGCCAGGGCAAGCACGGCAAGAAGCAGCUCGACCCCCUCACCAUCUACGGCAUCCGCUGUCACCUCUUCUAUAAAUUUGGAAUCACGGAAUCCGACUGGUAUCGAAUCAAACAGAGCAUCGACUCCAAAUGUCGGACGGCCUGGCGGCGAAAACAGCGAGGCCAGAGCCUGGCCGUCAAGAGCUUCUCCAGGAGAACCCCGUCCUCGUCCUCGUACGGCGCCUCAGAGACCAUGAUGAGCACGCCGCCGCCCGCCAGUGAGCUGCAGCAGCCCCCGCCUCAGGCCCUGCACUACGCCCUGGCCAACGCCCAGCAGGUCCAGAUCCACCAGAUCGGGGAGGACGGACAGGUCCAAGUAGGCCACCUCCACAUCGCCCAGGUGCCUCAAGGGGAGCAGGUGCAGAUCACGCAGGACAGCGAGGGCAAUCUACAGAUACACCACGUGGGACAAGAUGGGCAGGUGCUGCAGGGGGCCCAGCUGAUAGCCGUGGCUUCUUCAGACCCUGCUGCCACGGGGGUGGACGGCUCGCCGCUCCAAGGCAGCGACAUCCAGGUCCAGUACGUGCAGCUGGCGCCGGUGACCGACCACACCGCUGCAGCCCAGGCGGCCGACGCCCUGCAGCCCACCCUGCAGUCCGAGAUGCAGCUGGAGCAUGGGGCCAUCCAGAUCCAGUGAGGGGACGGCCGCCGACCAGACAGGGCCCGAGCCAGAGCCACCGCUCAGCGCUGGUUCCCGUCACCCGCACCGUUCACACGCACCCGUCCCUCGGCUUCGCACGGGAGGGGGCCCGCACACGUUCUGCUCAAGUGCAUCCGAGUGCCUCAUCCUCGGGGAGAGUGCCCCGCCUAAUUGUUCUGACUGGAACCUCCAAUACUAGAUCGAGGAGAAAUGGUGAGAGUGGGCACCCUUGUCUUGUCCUGUUCCUGAUCUUAGAGGAAACACUUUCAACUUUACACCAUUGAGUAUGAUGUUAGCUGUGGGUUUGUCAUAUGUGGCUUUUAUUAUGUUGAAGUAUGUUCCUUUUAUAACUAUUUGUUGAGAGUUUUUAUUGUGAAAGGAUAUUCUAGUUUUCAGAUGCUUUUUCUGCAUCUAUUGAGAUGGUAUGAUUUUUCUCUGUAUUCUCUUAAUGUGGUGUGUUACAUGUAAAGGUUUGUGUAUGUUGAACCAUCCUUGCAUCCCAGGGAUCACUGUCAUGGUGUGUGGCCCUUUUCAUGUGCUAGUGAAUUUGGUUUGCUAGAAUUUUGCUGAGAAUUUUGCAUCCAUAUUCAUCAGGGAUGUUGGUCUGUAGUUCUCUCUCCUUGGGGUAUCUUUGCUUUGGUAUCAGGGUAAUGCUGGCCUUGCAAACGAGUUUGGGAUAUCCCUUCUUCAGUUUUUUGGAAGCGUUUGAGAAGGAUUGACAUUAAUUUUUCUUUACAGGUUUGGUAGAGUUCACCAGUGAAGCCAUCUGGUCCUGGGCUUUUCUGUGUUGGGAGGUUUCGAUUACUGACUCAAUCUCUUUACUUGUAUUGGUCUGUUCAGGUUUUCUAUUUCUUCAUGAUUCAGCCUUGGUAGGUUGUAUGUUUCUAGGAAUUUAUCCAUUUCUUCUAGGUUAUCCAGUUUGUUGGUGUGUAAUUGUUCAUAGUAGUCUUUUACAAUCCCUUGUAUUUCUGUGGUGUCAGUUGGAUGUCUCCUCAUAUUUCUGGUUUUAUUUAUUUGAAUCUUCUUUUCUUUUCUUAGCUGGUCUAGCUAAAUGUUUGUUAAUUUUAUCUUUUUAAAAUAUCAGCACCGGGCUUCCCUGGUAGUGCAGCGGUUAAGAACCCGCCUGCUAAUGCAGGGGACACGGGUUCAAGCCCUGGUCCGGGAAGGUCCCACAUGCCGCGGAGCAGCUAAGCCCAUGCGCCACAACUACUGAGCCUGCGCUCUACAGCCCGCGAGCCACAACUACUGAGGCCUGCACGCCUAGAGCCCAUGCUCCGCAACAAGAGAAGACAGUGCAAUGAGAAGCCUGCGCACCGCCAACGAAGAGUAGCCCCCGCUCGCUGCAACUAGAGAAAGCCUGUGUGCAGCAACAAAGACCCAAUGCAGCCACAAACAAACAAACAAACAAAUAAAUAAAUUUAUUAAAAAAAAAUAUCAGCACCAUGAGCACUGUAUACAUUUACAAUUGUAAUAUCCUUUUGAUAAAUGGAUGAAUUGACCCUUUUAUCGUUAUUUAAUGACCUUAUUUGUCUCUUGUUACAGUUUUGACUCAAAGUCAAAACUUUUGAAAAAUGUAAGUA
Globicephala melas (long-finned pilot whale) is the source of this 4927-nucleotide RNA transcript. It is a transcript of the gene named BTG3 associated nuclear protein, with no coding region annotated. NCBI's taxonomy places the organism in Eukaryota, Metazoa, Chordata, Mammalia, Artiodactyla, Delphinidae. The record is from RefSeq and is a predicted model, not a curated record.